CUCUUGAGAGAUGAUAGACUGUUACAUGACAUUCUUUUAUGGCAAAUGGACUCUCCUGUAGACCAUCCUGAUCCAGCAAAUUUGAUCGUAGUCUCAGAUAAAGUUAGAGAUCACACGUACUUAUUCGAAACACUUGGAUGUUUGAAUACGAGAUAUUACAAUGUUAUGUUGGUAACUCCGACUAACCUACCACUAACCCCUGAUUGGCCAGCAUCGCUAUUAGAGGAAGGCGCAUACUGUUUUGGUAAGGAAACUUAAAGUGAAGAUCCUAGUCCGAUGCAGGUGAAGAAAACACCUGAGAGGUAGGAAGAUCAGGGCUGGUACUGAUUAUGUGGACUAGCUAGCUGUGGAUGUGCCCAUUUUAGUGUAACUAUCACAAACUCAUUUUCAUUUGAAUUUCUAUUAUUUUAAACAGAAAAUUCCUUCACUGAUGGUUUGACCUUCUUGAGCAAAAGAAUUUUCAUGAAUUUUAGUCAAGUGGUCACGACAGGAAAGCACAACAACUAGAAGAAACUACAUAUUAGUUUACAGUCAGUUUGCGUUCAUAUACGAACAUACCCGACUCUUAGUUGAGUAUAUUGUUUAUGUUUUCUCGUUGAACAUGUGUCUCUUCCUUGAACAUAUGUGAUUCUUCACGUAGAGUCUUUUGGUUGUCUAUAUAUAUAUGAGACAUUGCAAAGAGGAGAGAAUCAAUUAACACAUCUAAUUCAUAACAAGAAUAAUUUGAGAGAGAAAGUAAAAACAUUUGUGAGAGAAAAACACAUCUAUGUACACUUAGGGAAGUUUGUGAAACAGAGACACUAGAAUGUAAAAACACAUCUAUAUACACUUAAGGAAGUUUGUGAGAGUAAAAGUAAAACCAUUUGUCACAAGUGGUUUAUUAUACAUUUAUAUAUACACUAUAAUGUUAUUUUGAACGGUGACAAGUAAACACAAUAUUCAUUUGUGAGAUUUUUUUCCCUCACCUCAAGAAAAACACAUCUAUAUACCACUGAAUCAUGUCUCUUUUAUUAUAUUAAUCUCCAAACUUGAUAAUGUGGCCAUACUAAUUUAGAAAAAGCUAAUAAGAAAAUGUUUAUAAUUUGUGUACUUAAAAAUGAAAAUAUAGAAGGAAAGCUUUUAACAUGUUUAUAUAAACAAUAUAAUAAAUUAUUCAGGUGAGGAUCGAUUAAUUUACCACAAACAACGCAAUUUGUGUUGCAGACCCAAUAGCGAUUAUUCCCAGAGUUUAUAGCUUCUAGGUUCUAAUAUUAUUAUCAUUUUUCAGAAUCAGAAUAAUAAAUUAGAGAAUAAUGGAAGAUUUUUUUUUUGAUAAAUUGUUGAUCACUUACUGAUAUGAUUUUAUUGGUAGUAAAGACGCACCAGUUUGUUUGUUAAGGAAGGUCCUCUCUCACCCGACCUAACCCUAACGUAGCGAGCAAGUCUCCAAUUCGUAACAAUGCCCGAAGCCAAGAGCGAAUAUUUCUCUGGCAAUUGGACAUUCGUCUUCUGGCUCACGGAUGACUACCCAGUCCCUGUUGGUGUCGGGAUUCAUUCUAUCCAUAGUACUAUCAACGCAUCAAAUGGGUUUUGAUAAGGUGCAACCAAUCCAGGAAUAUUGUGACAACGACAAACGGUAUAAAGUUACGGCUUCUAAACAAAUGGUUAGGGAAAUGUUUGUUCGAGCAGGAUCGAUGUAUGGUGAACCAGUAAAUUUAGUGGUCAUCGCAAAACAAAGCACAAACCCUGAGAUGAACAGGGUUCUUCACUGUUUGAACUCCAGAAACAACCCUGUUCUCGUGGUCGAGCCGCCUGAUGAUGACACGGCGCGAGAUAGUGUAUUUCGUUCUGUAGACUCGCUAGUUGAGUGUACCCAUGUUGUAGGUGGAGGAAAGACUACAAGGCCACAGAGUUAUUGUUUUUGGUGAUGAUUCUGGUUCUGAUUCUGAUACUGAUACUGAUACUGAUGCUUAUCGGUGGAGGAAAAGAAUGAUCUAUAAGCUGGAAGGCUAAAAUGUCCUCCAGUGAUUGUGGUUGCUGUCAAGUCUUUGGGAUUAAUGUAUGAUGUUUCAUCUUUGUUCUGUUAAACUCUGUUUUUGUGUUUAAAUGAUUUUGCAGCUUUUUCUAAAGCUCUGCUCAACCUAAUGCAUUCUUUAAUUUCUCCAAGAAUUUUCAGAGGGCACUUCACAACUGUUAUCAAAUAUCUUUAUAAUAGAAGAAAAUAAUUAUUGGGCAUGGUUAACUUGGAUGUGUUUGUAUGUGUACUGCAAGUGAUGCUUUGGAUAUGCUUAGUUUAGGUUCUUGAGUGUAACAGAGCCUUCUUUGCUUGGAGAUGGUGGAGAGCUUCUUAUUGGCAAGAGCACGUGCUAAUUGUUCCUUAAAACUCAAGAAAACAAAUAGCUUUAAAUGCGAAUAUGUGCUUUGGUUCUCACACACAGUUACUAGUGUUUAAGGGGAAACUGUGUUUGUAAUCUGCUGGUAUCUUCAAGCAUAGAAUUGUGUAUAUAGAGCUCCAUAAUGUCAUGUAAACUUAGUCUUACGGUUCAUGAGUUCCUCUUCAUUUGAUUCUGUUUCUUAUACAGUCUUUCAUCAAUUGCAAAGAAUUGUCCUCAUUCACAGAAAGUGGAAAAUGUAUAGAUGCUCUUUACUCGAUUAAAAGUAUUUAUAUGUGAUAUUGUAUAUUGUCAUUUCUUCCUUAUUUUGCUUCCUAGUUUUUAAAGAUUGUAUUGUACAUUUAAAUCUCAACAAUGAUAGGAAGGUGAAGACUCUGCCAAUCAUGUGAACCAGCAGAUGUGUUUCAGCUGUACAUGCAGUUAUUGCACGUGGUUUAUCAGCUUCUUCUGACACUUCUUUUCCAGUAUAGUACAUAGAGAGGGAAAUAUUGUAUUUCAUCAAAUGUGCAACAUAGGGAAUAUAUAUAUAAAGUGGUAUACCUGGACUGGAUCUUCUGCUCAAUAUGAUGUGUUAUCAGAAGCAUUCUUACUUCUUAAUUGGGUUCUACAAAUGUGGAGGCCGCCAUCAAGAACCAAGAUGCAAGUUUCAGUGGAGAAUUUUUCGCUGUGAUUCCAUCAGCAUCUGUAGAUAAGUCUGAGGAGUUUAGUCACAGGUUCUAACAGCUUUGUUUCCUCAACAUCAACUUCACUUGAUUGAUCAUCUUCAUCAAAUAGGUUACUUAAGAUGAAGUAAGAGAAAUAGAGGAAAGAAAAGGAACUGAGUCGCCUGAUGCUCUGGCAAUAGAAUACACUUUUGGUUAUGUUCGAAAACGUUAAACAAAAUUAAGAAGUUUAGAUAUAUUUAAAGAAAUUAAUUUUCAUUUUUAAAUUGAAAGAUUUGAUCGGAUUUUAAUAAAAACAAGAUAUUGACCCGCGCUUAGAAAACGCGGAUUUAUUUUUGAAAUUAAAUAAAUUCUUCUUGUAUAAUUUCUAUAUUAGAUAAUGUAUAGGUUUGGAGACAUUUGUCCGGAUGCACUGAAUCGUACCAAACUGGAUUUUUUAAAAAAAAUUAAGAUGAAUUUCAUAAAUAACC
Brassica napus (rape) is the source of this 3504-nucleotide long non-coding RNA. RefSeq lists it as uncharacterized. The record is from RefSeq and is a predicted model, not a curated record. The transcript is spliced from 3 exons. NCBI's taxonomy places the organism in Eukaryota, Viridiplantae, Streptophyta, Magnoliopsida, Brassicales, Brassicaceae.